CGGCAAUCUGCGGCUGACGGACUUCCUGAGUUAGGCAUCCUAUCUCUCCUUUAAAAGCCCUCAAUGGAUUUAUUUUUAUUUUCUUCCAGGAAUUUCUCUAAUUACAAGGAUAGCCCGAGCGCUUCUUAACUGUUCUCUGUCCAAACCAGCCACUGAUUUCCAGGUAGAAGUGCCCUCCAUGCCUGCAGUCAUAGGUGGAAGGAGAUCGUCUGAGAGAUUCAGGUAUGAGGUGUUAGUCUCAUUUGUGCUCUGGAGGACAGGCCUGCUCACUCCUUCACUUUCUCCCAACAAGGGAGCAGCCCCCACACGCCACGUGGGCAGGGCAGACUUCACCUCGCCUCAGAUUGCCACCUGGAGUGACAGGCACAAUGGGACAGGAGAGGGAAGACUCCAGCAAGCAUCAAGAUCUGCGAGGGAUGAGGCUCAUGUGGAGAAAAGCAAUCUGCUGGUGACCACAAUGAGAGCACAGGUAAAUGGCUGCUUUAGGCGAGUAUUUAUUCACACUGCCUCCACAAUUUCAUAUUCCAAUCAAUGGAACAAGGGCUGCUCUACACAUUUUGUUUUUAGGCCAGAGAUCACCUAAAAGGUCUCAGUAGACAUCAACUCCUGCCAGCCACAGACUAGAAAUCCCAGGGCACAAGUCCAGACCAUACCACUUUUUGAUGCCUUUUCUUGGUCUUAAAAUCAAGAGUCAUACACGGUUAGAAGGGGAAAAGGGGUUUUACCUUGGUAUUUAUUUUAAGGAUCCUUAGGUGUACACAUCUAGGUUAUAUGCAUCGAGAUGCACCCCACCGAGUCUAUCUCUGUCCACCUCCCCCUCCAACAUUGGGUAUAACAUUAUAGGUUAUACUAAUUAGCAUAUCUAUCAAAGAUUCCCCAAUGAGAGGCUCAAGUGAGCCCCCCUCCCCAAGGAAGCUUCCCCUGGAUGGUUCUAUCUUGGUUUACAGAAUAUGUUCUGGAGAGGACCUUGGGGUCUGGGGCACACUGAUCCCUAGCUAUGAAGCUUCUAAAAUGUUUAGUCUCUUAGCUUGACAAAGAAGUCCAAGAAUGUAGGCAAAAAGCACUACGGAUACAGAAGUUGUAAAAAGGUAUAACAGGGGUAUAAAAGAAAAGGCAAAAAAUCUUCAUGGCAUUGUUCUGGCCAUGCAAAGCCCACUAAAAUUCCCCCCACAACCUCCCUGUUCAAUGCCAGCCCCUCCAGCAGCUUGUUCCUGCCCUCAUGACAGGUUUGCACAGCUCUCUGUGUUGGUACAGCUACCAGCUUUCAGUGGAACCAAGGGAAUCAUGUAGGACCUUCUCGAGCCACCUUCACAACAAACCACCACAGGCACACAUCCCUGAUCAAAACACUUUCGUAUGUGCUCCCUGGUUCAGGAUUACCAAUCCCAGCAGUAUUCCAUCUUUGCACUGCUCACACCUGCGCAGGCCUGUGCUGACUUCUGGGGUGUCUCUCUGCCACAACACACCUCAGUCAGUCCCUUGCAGGGCCAUCUCUGUGACAUCCCAUCCCAGGAAGCAGCCUGCUCACAACUGAACUGCAAACCACAUCAGUUCCAUUAUCUGCACCAGAACACAUGAAAAACCGUAGCUAACAAAAUAAAUAAAUGCCAGUCUCCAGUUCAGGAGUGCAGAAAGAUAAUUGUUUUGAUUUGCAGUACAAACUAGAACCUGAAGGAAAGCAAGACCAGUUUCUUCUACUUAGAAUCAUAGAGUCCCAGACUGGUUUGGGUUGGAAGAGACCUUCAAGAUCAUAUCAUUCCACACACCCUACCACAGGCACCUUCCUCAAGUUGCUCCAAGCCCCAUCUGACCUGGCCUUAAACACUUCCAGGGAUGGGGCAGCCACAGAUUCUCUGGGCAACCUGUGCCAUGGCCUCACCAAAAUUCUCUCCCUUUUAGCUCACUCAACAGGGAUGUGGGAACUACACAGAGCAGAACAGGAGCUGUAGCUGCUGCACAGCUGUGGCAGAUAAGCCAAGAAACAGCUGAAGCAGGUUACUGUGCUCAUCCAGCAGCCCAAGAAAAGAGUUUUCAGGAUACCUUUUCAUUAGUGAAUCCUGCUUUGGGCUGCACAGCCCACCUGUGCUGGAUGGCAGCAGCCAGCUCCCCAAAUCCUUCCUCUUGUAACUGAGGGCACAGCAUCACAUCCCGCCGAUGUGAUCCAUCACAGCCCACCUGACCCAGCACACACAGGCACUGCCUGUGUCUUUCUGCCGGCUGAUGCCCAAUGCUGCAGAUCAGAGGUGGGAUCAAUACCACACUCCUGCUAAAACCAGUGUUGAGGCCAAUGAUUUGACACGGACUAGAAACAGAAGUAAAACUGACCUCAUCGAUUUUCAUUUUCCAAGCAAAGGCCACGAGUAAGGAGCAGACUAGCAGUGCCAAGAGCAAAAGACUAAUUUGGUGGGGGCUUUCUGUUUUUAAUUAUUUCACAUUUAAUAUCCAUGUUCUUGAUCCCACAGAGAUUUAAGAUUUCUUUGGGCCUACACACUUGCAUAAGGUUGUGUGUGCAUUUAAACGACUGUAGGAUCUAAGCCCAGCUUUUUACUUAUCACUAGGUAAGCAAAUUUGCUUAAUAGGAAUUUUAAUUUGCCAUUAUCCAUUUAAAAAUGUAUUUUUUUUCUCUGCUAAAUAGUAAUAAAUUAGCCUAACAGCAAUCACUUAUAUUUCUUUAGCAUCUUGGAAGCAUCUCAAUACAUUUUUACCAACCACAGCAGUCCAGUGAAGCUAAAUCAACUGCCACAUGUAGAUCUCGCAGGGCUUGGUUUGAAGAUGGGGUCUUUACAGUAGAAAGCUUGGAUUUUUCACUAUAUCACUGAAAAAACAUAUUUAUAAUUUCAAGUGGGAGGGAAGAUGCACAGGAGCUCCACAAGAGGAGUUUAAUCUGGUGAAAGAAUAAUUCUCUCAGCAGAUUUUGUACCCUGCCCACCUACCCACCCUCCCUGCCACCACAUAUCAGGAAAUUCACAUACAGCAAGCCCAGCCCUUCCAAGGAUGCUGACACAGCCUCCUGCACACCUGGUGCCAGUGCCUGCCCCUGCACCACACCAGAUCCAUCCCAGCUACAGAGGUGGGCACUUCUCCCAGUGCAGAGAUGCAGCAGACUCAGCCCAGGCACAAGAGCCCAGGCCUGCCUGUAUCCUUGGUGCUGGUUUCAACAGACAAGGACCAAUCCUGAAGAAAUCUGUGUUUCACAAGGACUACAAGGUUUUAUUUUGAGGCUUGCCUGCUUCCCAAGCUCCCUCCCCAAAUGCAGAAGGGUAUUAUCCCCUGAGAAGAGGCUGGGGAGGUGACAGACACUAACCAGGCAGGCAUCUCCAAACUGGAGCCCUAAAAUGUCUGUAUUUUGGCACUCCUCCUCUCCACCAUAACCUGCAUGUAUCACAACCCAUUUCACUCCCAACACUAUCCCUGGAGCAACACUACUGCAAAGGCAGGGAGGGGAAAGAACAGCGAUGCCUAAAGAGGAAUUGAGGCUGAUCCAGGGUGGCACAGGAAAAAACAUGCUACCACUCCCCAAAACAGCCAUGCUGUUGUCCCCUCUCCCCACCAAACUGAGCUGUUCACUUGAGUGCAACUGGAUAGUACUGAAGGACCUGGGCAGAAAUAGAUUUUUUGUUCUGUGGACUGCUGGAGCCAGGGUCAUUAGCUAUGCACAGCAAGCAGGCAGCAGUCCCUCAUUAGCAGGCCACUCGUCGGCUCCAGCCACCUACAUUAUUGGUUCAAAGGAGUGUGCCCAGCCAUUAUUGCCCUCUCCAGAAACUCAGCCUAAUUGGCUUAGGGAAAGUACAGGUUAAGAGCAUGAACGGCUCUGCAGCUAGCACAGUUUUGCCAAGUCAUGAUUUUAUGAGUUCAGGGAACUGCAUAUCCUCAGGUCCUGGAAUCUUCAGCACUACUGACUGCAUCACUUUCUGCAUCAACUGAAGGGGACAGGAUGUUUCUAGUCCUCAUGGCUACAGGGGGAAAGAGUGGUCCUUAAAUGGCUGCAAACCAUAUGGAACAAGUUUACAAGUUUUUUCUCUUUAUUCUUUGAAUUUGCAGGCCAUUUCCCAGGGAAGAGUUGGUAAUACAGCUUCCACAAACAUGGAAAAACAGGCAUGCUUGCUCUGAGCCAAGGAAGCAGGCAGCCCCAGAGCCCACUGCCCCAGGCAGUAAAGCUCUCUGUCCCCUGGAGCCACAGCACAUGCAGAGCCCCCCAAGGUCACGGAACAUCUGUCCCCAGGCACCAGCCAGCACCUGCAGCCCCCAGCCCAAACCCACCAACCCAGCCCUAUCUACAGGGCUGGUGUCGUUCCAUCCAUCAUCACAAUCCAACUCAAGGGGAGGAAUGAGGCCUAGGAGAGCUCCUUCUCCAGCCACAACCGCCACCAAAAUACACCUAGCAAAGCAUACCUUCAGUUCCUGAGCCAUUCCUGCUCAAAUGAUCAAACAUCCAUAGUUCUCCUCAGGCUUUUGUAGAGGUUUCUCUCCCCUAAAGCUGAAGCAACACACCAGAACUGUUCCCCCAAUUCCUCCCUGCUUACACACCUCUCCCUAGUGCCCAGACUACCUCAGCUCCUCUGGUCAGCAAGGUUUAUUACCUCGUUACCAGUUCCAGGUGCUGCAAUGCUCACCUGCUGAACCUCCCUGUUGGUGCCACCUGUUUGCAAUUACCAGGGAUGAGCCGGGGACAUUACUGGUGGCCUACCCCUGCCCUGGACUUGCUACCACCUGAAACUUGGGCACUAACACAUCUCAGCUACCCACUCCUUUCCAAGCCUCUUGAAAUCCUGACUGGAUUUCAACGUUGCAGCUCAAAUUUACAGAACUGGUGAGGUUUGCCCAGUUUCCUGGAGCCUGUACUCUAGGCAGACACUCGACUUGGUGUUUUUGUUAGGGGUUAGGAUUUUUCCUUUUGUUUCUUUCUCUCAUGGAAUUUUGUCCCAUCUGUCGCUAAGAAACCAUAACGACCGAUACUUAGGAGAGACAAAAGAAGUUGCCACGGGAAGGAUGCGGCUGGCUACUCUCUUACCUGAGGGGUUUCUCUUGGAGGGGCAGUGAAAUUUGGGCUGGGGAAAAGGGGGCUGGACGCAGCUCCUCGCUCUCUUGCUCUCUCGGCAUCGGAGGGGAAGCAGGCUGAGGUCGCUGUGGGGAGAAUUUACCACCACUGCGAGGCUCCUUCUCCCACUGCCUUCUCCUACCAUGAAUGAAGCUCUGCCUGUGGGAGCGGCUGUUGUGCUGGAGCCUUAUUAACACCCUGCCUCACUGGGGGGGACCCUUUCACCAUCUGCUCAGGUGCCUCAGGGGAAACCCCGGG
Long non-coding RNA from Corvus moneduloides (New Caledonian crow), 5296 nucleotides. The record is from Ensembl. NCBI's taxonomy places the organism in Eukaryota, Metazoa, Chordata, Aves, Passeriformes, Corvidae.